RNAcentral lists this ribosomal RNA (518 nucleotides) under uncultured microorganism. RNAcentral describes it as "bacterial SSU rRNA". It matches the Rfam family "Bacterial small subunit ribosomal RNA", at positions 9 to 511 of the family's 1533-position model. The record is from RNAcentral.
GAGUUUGAUCAUGGCUCAGGAUGAACGCUGGCGGCGUGCCUAAUACAUGCAAGUCGAGCGAACAGACGAGGAGCUUGCUCCUCUGACGUUAGCGGCGGACGGGUGAGUAACACGUGGAUAACCUACCUAUAAGACUGGGAUAACUUCGGGAAACCGGAGCUAAUACCGGAUAAUAUAUUGAACCGCAUGGUUCAAUAGUGAAAGACGGUUUUGCUGUCACUUAUAGAUGGAUCCGCGCCGCAUUAGCUAGUUGGUAAAGUAACGGCUUACCAAGGCAACGAUGCGUAGCCGACCUGAGAGGGUGAUCGGCCACACUGGAACUGAGACACGGUCCAGACUCCUACGGGAGGCAGCAGUAGGGAAUCUUCCGCAAUGGGCGAAAGCCUGACGGAGCAACGCCGCGUGAGUGAUGAAGGUCUUCGGAUCGUAAAACUCUGUUAUUAGGGAAGACAAAUGUGUAGUAACUAUGCACGUCUUGACGGUACCUAAUCAGAAAGCCACGGCUAACUACGUGCCAG